This 103-nucleotide small nuclear RNA is filed under the name Panthera leo (lion). The record is from RNAcentral. Lineage: Eukaryota; Metazoa; Chordata; Mammalia; Carnivora; Felidae.
UUGCUUUGGCAGCAUAUAUACUAAAAGUGGAACAAUACAGAGAAGAUUAGCAUGGCCCCUACACAAGGAUGACACACAAAUUCAUGAAGUGUUCCAUAUUUUU